UACAGAGGCUCCAAGCGUUAUCCGGAAUCACUGGGCGUAAAGGGUGUGUAGGUGGUCUUGUUAGUCUUCUGUUAAAUCUCCCGGCCCAACCGGGAACAUGCAGGAGAAACGGCAAAACUAGAGGAUGAGAGGGGUGCAUGGAACUCACGGAGUAGGGGUGAAAUCCGUUGAUAUCGUGGGGAACACCAAAAGCGAAGGCAAUGCACUGGCUCACUCCUGACACUGAAACACGAAAGCGUAGGUAGCGAAUGGG
This 253-nucleotide ribosomal RNA is filed under the name uncultured bacterium. Its description in RNAcentral is "partial 16S ribosomal RNA". It matches the Rfam family "Bacterial small subunit ribosomal RNA", at positions 524 to 776 of the family's 1533-position model. The record is from RNAcentral.